Molecule: long non-coding RNA, 692 nt
Filed under: Homo sapiens (human)
Lineage: Eukaryota; Metazoa; Chordata; Mammalia; Primates; Hominidae
Description: non-protein coding lnc-RPA3-5:2
Source: RNAcentral
UCCACAUUUUCAAGAACCUAUAAAAUGUUUGAAAAAAAAUAUGUGGUUGGAUCCUCAGAAACCACUGUGUUCAGGAUCUAGAAGAGUUUUAAAUGACCCUGAUAAGAGAUCUAAUUGCCAAAUCCAGUGGGCGAUUUUUAAUCCUUAUUAAAAAAUGAAGCAGCAUUGGAUAAUGUUGACCAUGCCCUCCUUUCUCCUCCCUUGGUUUCUGUCAUAUCACCAUCUCCUAGUUUUUAACCAACUUCUUUGAGUACUCCUGCUCAGUCUACUCUGGGGUUUUCUUCUACACCCGGAAUUCCAUCUUGGUUGUCUUUUCUUGUUAAAUGUUUUCCUUGACAAUCUCAUCCACAUCCAGGUUCCAUGCCCAUUUAUAUUCUAAGCUCCAUCACCGUCUGCACUGGCAGUUCAACUUCAACGGCCCCUGAAAGUCUGCUCCUCCUUUCAUAGAUCCUGAGUAAAUGGCACACUAUUAAUUCAAUGGCUCAAUCCAGAAAUUUGGGAGUCAUCUUACAUUCUUUUUUUUCCCCUCUCAUCUUAUAGUCAAUCAAUCACCAAUUCCUGUCAAUUCGAUUCCUGCAAUCUCUUACAUCUGUCCACUUCUCUUCAUCUAUUAACAGCACAACUCUGGGCCAAGCAUGGUGGCUCACAUCUGUAAUUCUAGCACUCUGGAAGGUCAAGGCAGGAGGAUUGCU